UGAGGAAUAUUGGUCAAUGGGCGAGAGCCUGAACCAGCCAAGUCGCGUGAAGGAUGAAGGUUCUAUGGAUUGUAAACUUCUUUUAUUCGAGGGUAAAGUGAGGUACGUGUACCUUAUUGCAAGUAUCGAAUGAAUAAGGACCGGCUAAUUCCGUGCCAGCAGCCGCGGUAAUACGGAAGGUCCGGGCGUUAUCCGGAUUUAUUGGGUUUAAAGGGAGCGUAGGCUGGAGAUUAAGCGUGUUGUGAAAUGCCGCGGCUCAACCGUGGCACUGCAGCGCGAACUGGUUCCUUGAGUGCGCUGAAAGUGGGCGGAAUUUGUGGUGUAGCGGUGAAAUGCUUAGAUAUCACGAAGAACUCCGAUUGCGAAGGCAGCUCACUGUAUCGCGACUGACGCUGAAGCUCGAAAGUGCGGGUAUCGAACAGGAUUAGAUACCCUGGUAGU
Molecule: ribosomal RNA, 441 nt
Filed under: uncultured Prevotella sp.
Lineage: Bacteria; Pseudomonadati; Bacteroidota; Bacteroidia; Bacteroidales; Prevotellaceae
Description: bacterial SSU rRNA
Rfam family: Bacterial small subunit ribosomal RNA
Source: RNAcentral